UACGUAGGUGGCAAGCGUUGUCCGGAUUUACUGGGCGUAAAGGAUGCGUAGGCGGACAUUUAAGUCAGAUGUGAAAUACCCGAGCUUAACUUGGGUGCUGCAUUUGAAACUGGGUGUCUAGAGUGCAGGAGAGGUAAGUGGAAUUCCUAGUGUAGCGGUGAAAUGCGUAGAGAUUAGGAAGAACACCAGUGGCGAAGGCGACUUACUGGACUGUAACUGACGCUGAGGCAUGAAAGCAUGGGGAGCAAACAGG
Molecule: ribosomal RNA, 253 nt
Filed under: uncultured bacterium
Lineage: Bacteria
Description: partial 16S ribosomal RNA
Rfam family: Bacterial small subunit ribosomal RNA
Source: RNAcentral